Small nucleolar RNA from Microcebus murinus (gray mouse lemur), 145 nucleotides. Ensembl annotates it as small nucleolar RNA, H/ACA box 4. Its record names the gene SNORA4. NCBI's taxonomy places the organism in Eukaryota, Metazoa, Chordata, Mammalia, Primates, Cheirogaleidae. The record is from Ensembl.
CUACCAAAAGUUAGUUUUGGAGGGGGAAGGUUUUGUUAUAAUAACCUUCACCACCUUGGGCUGUUUGGGAGAGCAAAGAAAAGACCACACUCCACAGUGGGCUAUACCACUUAGUAUAGUUCAUUACUAUUUUGUGGCCUACAUU